GUCUCUGCACCUAUUACUGAAA
This 22-nucleotide microRNA is filed under the name Cordylochernes scorpioides. The record is from RNAcentral. Lineage: Eukaryota; Metazoa; Arthropoda; Arachnida; Pseudoscorpiones; Chernetidae.